GAUGAACGCUGGCGGCGUGCCUAAUACAUGCAAGUCGAACGCUUUGUGGUUCAACUGAUUUGAAGAGCUUGCUCAGAUAUGACGAUGGACAUUGCAAAGAGUGGCGAACGGGUGAGUAACACGUGGGAAACCUACCUCUUAGCAGGGGAUAACAUUUGGAAACAGAUGCUAAUACCGUAUAACAAUGACAACCGCAUGGUUGUUAUUUAAAAGAUGGUUCUGCUAUCACUAAGAGAUGGUCCCGCGGUGCAUUAGCUAGUUGGUAAGGUAAUGGCUUACCAAGGCGAUGAUGCAUAGCCGAGUUGAGAGACUGAUCGGCCACAAUGGGACUGAGACACGGCCCAUACUCCUACGGGAGGCAGCAGUAGGGAAUCUUCCACAAUGGGCGAAAGCCUGAUGGAGCAACGCCGCGUGUGUGAUGAAGGGUUUCGGCUCGUAAAACACUGUUGUAAGAGAAGAAUGACAUUGAGAGUAACUGUUCAAUGUGUGACGGUAUCUUACCAGAAAGGAACGGCUAAAUACGUGCCAGCAGCCGCGGUAAUACGUAUGUUCCAAGCGUUAUCCGGAUUUAUUGGGCGUAAAGCGAGCGCAGACGGUUAUUUAAGUCUGAAGUGAAAGCCCUCAGCUCAACUGAGGAAUUGCUUUGGAAACUGGAUGACUUGAGUGCAGUAGAGGAAAGUGGAACUCCAUGUGUAGCGGUGAAAUGCGUAGAUAUAUGGAAGAACACCAGUGGCGAAGGCGGCUUUCUGGACUGUAACUGACGUUGAGGCUCGAAAGUGUGGGUAGCAAACAGGAUUAGAUACCCUGGUAGUCCACACCGUAAACGAUGAGUGCUAGGUGUUUGAGGGUUUCCGCCCUUAAGUGCCGCAGCUAACGCAUUAAGCACUCCGCCUGGGGAGUACGACCGCAAGGUUGAAACUCAAAGGAAUUGACGGGGACCCGCACAAGCGGUGGAGCAUGUGGUUUAAUUCGAAGCAACGCGAAGAACCUUACCAGGUCUUGACAUCCCUUGACAACUCCAGAGAUGGAGUGUUCCCUUCGGGGACAAGGUGACAGGUGGUGCAUGGUUGUCGUCAGCUCGUGUCGUGAGAUGUUGGGUUAAGUCCCGCAACGAGCGCAACCCUUAUUACUAGUUGCCAGCAUUCAGUUGGGCACUCUAGUGAGACUGCCGGUGACAAACCGGAGGGAGGUGGGGAUGACGUCAAAUCAUCAUGCCCCUUAUGACCUGGGCUACACACGUGCUACAAUGGCGUAUACAACGAGUUGCCAACCCGCGAGGGUGAGCUAAUCUCUUAAAGUACGUCUCAGUUCGGAUUGUAGGCUGCAACUCGCCUACAUGAAGUCGGAAUCGCUAGUAAUCGCGGAUCAGCACGCCGCGGUGAAUACGUUCCCGGGUCUUGUACACACCGCCCGUCACACCAUGAGAGUUUGUAACACCCAAAGCCGGUGGGGUAACCUUCGGGAGCCAGCCGUCUAAGGUGGGACAGAUGAUUAGGGUG
This 1499-nucleotide ribosomal RNA is filed under the name Weissella sp. Its description in RNAcentral is "bacterial SSU rRNA". It matches the Rfam family "Bacterial small subunit ribosomal RNA". The record is from RNAcentral. Lineage: Bacteria; Bacillati; Bacillota; Bacilli; Lactobacillales; Lactobacillaceae.